ACGGGAGGCAGCAGUGAGGAAUAUUGGUCAAUGGGCGGAAGCCUGAACCAGCCAAGUCGCGUGAAGGAUGAAGGUAUUAUGUAUUGUAAACUUCUUUAGACGCAGAGAAAUAAGAGGCUCGUGAGCCUUGAUGCUAGUAUGCGUAGAAUAAGGAUCGGCUAACUCCGUGCCAGCAGCCGCGGUAAUACGGAGGAUCCGAGCGUUAUCCGGAUUUAUUGGGUUUAAAGGGAGCGUAGGCGGCCUUUUAAGUCAGCGGUCAAAUGUCAGCGCCCAACGCUGGCCUGCCGUUGAUACUGAUGGGCUUGAAUACACACAAGGAAGGUGGAAUUCGUCGUGUAGCGGUGAAAUGCUUAGAUAUGACGAAGAACUCCGAUUGCGAAGGCAGCCUUCUGGAGUGCGAUUGACGCUGAGGCUCGAAAGCGCGGGUAUCAAACAGGAUUAGAUACCUGGUA
Molecule: ribosomal RNA, 452 nt
Filed under: uncultured Porphyromonadaceae bacterium
Lineage: Bacteria; Pseudomonadati; Bacteroidota; Bacteroidia; Bacteroidales; Porphyromonadaceae
Description: bacterial SSU rRNA
Rfam family: Bacterial small subunit ribosomal RNA
Source: RNAcentral